CUGGUGUCACCCCUUUGGAAAGAUGUUGCCCGUGCAAUUCCUGUGAUGCAGUGCUUCUGCCUGUAGGUGCACAGCAUGGGAGACCUCAUGGGAGCCCUGGGAGACACGUACAAGAAGAGUCAAAGCACUUAUGUUCAUAACAUCAAAGCAGCAGCAGCAGCCUCAACACCAAUGGAAUCGAACUCAUGACCUUGCACUUACCAGGCAGGUGAUGCGCUGCUGAGCUAAAUCCCUAGCCCCUUAGCUUUAUUAACUUUUAAUAAAUAGACAUUCUGGAUG
This 279-nucleotide long non-coding RNA is filed under the name Chinchilla lanigera (long-tailed chinchilla). Its description in RNAcentral is "lncRNA (ENSCLAG00000023331.1)". The record is from RNAcentral. Lineage: Eukaryota; Metazoa; Chordata; Mammalia; Rodentia; Chinchillidae.